This 484-nucleotide ribosomal RNA is filed under the name uncultured bacterium. RNAcentral describes it as "partial 16S ribosomal RNA". It matches the Rfam family "Bacterial small subunit ribosomal RNA", at positions 29 to 523 of the family's 1533-position model. The record is from RNAcentral.
AGUGAACGCUUGCGGCGUGCUUAACACAUGCAAGUCGAACGAGAACGGAUUAUAGCUUGCUAUAAUUGUCAGCUAAGUGGCGCACGGGUGCGUAAUGUAUAGGUAAUAUGCCUCUUACUAAGGGAUAACAAAUGGAAACGUUUGCUAAUACCUUAUACUCCUUAUUAACAGAAGUUAAUAAGGGAAAGAUUUAUUGGUAAGAGAUUAGCCUGUAUUGUAUCAGUUAGUUGGUGGGGUAAUGGCUUACCAAGACUAUGACACAUAACUGGUUUGAGAGGAUGAUCAGUCACACUGGAACUGAGACACGGUCCAGACUCCUACGGGAGGCAGCAGUGGGGAAUAUUGCACAAUGGACGAAAGUCUGAUGCAGCAACGCCGCGUGGAGGAUGACACAUUUCGGUGCGUAAACUCCUUUUAUAUGAGAAGAUAAUGACGGUAUUAUAUGAAUAAGCACCGGCUAACUCCGUGCCAGCAGCCGCGGUAA